AGCGUAUUUGUCACUUUCUAUUCCCUCUAACCAAUUUUUUUCCCGAGAAAGUUUUUCUAUAACGCUUUCUCUUCUUCAAUUUGUGAAUAAACAAAUUAGAACUUUUCGAUUCGUUUUUUGUUCUGUUCUUUCGCUGACCGACAAGAUAUCAGCCGGGACGUGGAGACCGCCGAAUCCUGAUUAUCAGUCGUACCAGCAGAAUCAUCAGCAGCAACAACGGCAACAGUGGUCACGUCGCGCUGGAAACAAUAAUGAGUCAAGAAGACGACGUCGACGUCACUCCUUUAAGUCACAAUCCUUUCUCUUAUCCUCAAGGGGAAAUGGCGACGACACAACUUUCAGUAUCACCAGUUACCGUGUCAGUCAAGAGCUUAGCCUCGCUCAGAGUUUCGAGUGCCUAGUUUGGAACUUUGAAACCAGGCACCCUUAAGCAGAGCCAGUUCCGUUCUUUGGUUGUCAAAGCUGCUUCUGUCGGUGCUCCUAAGUACUCUUCAAUUAAGCCAAUGGGAGAUAGAUUUUUGGUGAAGAUCAAGGGGGCAGAGGAGAAGACAAUGAGAGGUAUCUUACUUCCAUCUACAGGGUCAAAGAUCAAGGAGGCAGAGGAGAAGACAAUGGGAGGUAUCUUACUUCCAUCUACAGGUCAAUCGAAACCUCAAGGAGGUGAAGUCGUUGCUGUGGGUGAAAGGGGAAUUAUUGGGAAAAACAAAGUUGAUAUCACUGUCCCUACUGGAGCACAAAUCAUUUACUCCACAAGUACGCUGGAACUGAGGUGGAGUUCAACGAUGUGAAGCAUCUCAUUCUCAAGGAAGAUGAUAUUGGCCUUUCUUAGUUGUUUAUCUUUUAUUUAUGUAUUUAGGAUGUUAUUUAAAUAUUUUGGAUGUUUCAAAUUUGGUAGGAUAAUGCUUUUAAAUGUUUAAAACUUGGUGUGUUGCAUGGA
Brassica oleracea var. oleracea is the source of this 937-nucleotide long non-coding RNA. RefSeq lists it as uncharacterized. The record is from RefSeq and is a predicted model, not a curated record. The transcript has 4 exons. NCBI's taxonomy places the organism in Eukaryota, Viridiplantae, Streptophyta, Magnoliopsida, Brassicales, Brassicaceae.